UGGGGAAUAUUGGACAAUGGGCGGAAGCCUGAUCCAGCCAUGCCGCGUGUGUGAAGAAGACCUUUUGGUUGUAAAGCACUUUAAGCGAGGAGGAGGCUACUUGGAUUAAUACUCUAGGAUAGUGGACGUUACUCGCAGAAUAAGCACCGGCUAACUCUGUGCCAGCAGCCGCGGUAAUACAGAGGGUGCGAGCGUUAAUCGGAUUUACUGGGCGUAAAGCGUGCGUAGGCGGCUUCUUAAGUCGGAUGUGAAAUCCCUGAGCUUAACUUAGGAAUUGCAUUCGAUACUGGGAAGCUAGAGUAUGGGAGAGGAUGGUAGAAUUCCAGGUGUAGCGGUGAAAUGCGUAGAGAUCUGGAGGAAUACCGAUGGCGAAGGCAGCCAUCUGGCCUAAUACUGACGCUGAGGUACGAAAGCAUGGGGAGCAAACAGG
This 430-nucleotide ribosomal RNA is filed under the name Acidobacteriota bacterium. RNAcentral's name for it is "Acidobacteria bacterium partial 16S ribosomal RNA". It matches the Rfam family "Bacterial small subunit ribosomal RNA", at positions 355 to 776 of the family's 1533-position model. Lineage: Bacteria; Pseudomonadati; Acidobacteriota. The record is from RNAcentral.